Molecule: ribosomal RNA, 575 nt
Filed under: uncultured bacterium
Lineage: Bacteria
Description: bacterial SSU rRNA
Rfam family: Bacterial small subunit ribosomal RNA
Source: RNAcentral
ACGGGUGCGUAACACGUGAGCAACCUGCCCCGAAGACUGGGAUAACACCGGGAAACCGGUGCUAAUACCGGAUGCCUUCACCACGUCGCAUGGCGAGGUGAAGAAAUGGAUUCCGCUUCGGGAUGGGCUCGCGGCCUAUCGGCUUGUUGGUGGGGUAAUGGCCUAUCAAGGCAACGACGGGUAGCUGGUCUGAGAGGAUGUCCAGCCACACUGGGACUGAGACACGGCCCAGACUCCUACGGGAGGCAGCAGUUAGGAAUCUUGCGCAAUGGGCGAAAGCCUGACGCAGCGAUGCCGCGUGCGGGAUGAAGGCCUUCGAGUCGUAAACCGCUUUCAGCAGGGACGAUAGUGACGGUACCUGCAGAAGAAGCCCCGGCCAACUACGUGCCAGCAGCCGCGGUAAUACGUAGGGGGCAAGCGUUGUCCGGAUUUAUUGGGCGUAAAGAGCUCGUAGGCGGUUUGGUAAGUCGGGUGUGAAAUCUCCACGCUCAACGUGGAGGGGCCACUCGAUACUGCCAUGACUCGAGUCCGGUAGAGGAGUGUGGAAUUCCCGGUGUAGCGGUGAAAUGCGCAGA